GGAGAGGUGUCAGAGUGGUCUAAUGAACCGGUUUCGAAAACCGGCAGGCUCGUAAGGGCCUCGAGGGUUCGAAUCCCUCCCUCUCCGCCA
Molecule: transfer RNA, 90 nt
Filed under: Candidatus Lloydbacteria bacterium RIFCSPHIGHO2_01_FULL_54_11
Lineage: Bacteria; Candidatus Lloydiibacteriota
Also listed under: 3 other names
Description: tRNA-Ser
Rfam family: tRNA
About the family: Transfer RNA (tRNA) molecules are approximately 80 nucleotides in length.
Source: RNAcentral